CAACUGGAUAGCUCGACGGGGCGAUAAGCGGUCUUCAUCACACUGUUUCCAGUUGUCCUUUCGUGAUG
Molecule: non-coding RNA, 68 nt
Filed under: unclassified sequences
Description: int-alpA RNA
Rfam family: int-alpA RNA
About the family: Acidobacteria (1 example), Planctomycetes (1 example), Proteobacteria. Environment (Lake Washington)
Source: Rfam by way of RNAcentral